This 253-nucleotide ribosomal RNA is filed under the name uncultured bacterium. RNAcentral's name for it is "partial 16S ribosomal RNA". It matches the Rfam family "Bacterial small subunit ribosomal RNA", at positions 524 to 776 of the family's 1533-position model. The record is from RNAcentral.
UACGAAGGGUGCAAGCGUUAUCCGGAUUCAUUGGGUUUAAAGGGUGCGUAGGCGGGCUAUUAAGUCAGUGGUGAAAGCCCCAAGCUUAACUUGGGAACUGCCAUUGAUACUGAUGGUCUUGAGUACAUUUGAGGUGGGCGGAAUGUGUCAUGUAGCGGUGAAAUGCUUAGAUAUGACACAGAACACCGAUUGCGAAGGCAGCUCAUUAAACUGUAACUGACGCUGAGGCACGAAAGCGUGGGGAGCAAACAGG